UUGUGGGAUUGAGUGUGGCUAUUUAGC
RNAcentral lists this non-coding RNA (27 nucleotides) under Homo sapiens (human). Lineage: Eukaryota; Metazoa; Chordata; Mammalia; Primates; Hominidae. The record is from RNAcentral.